UACGGCAAUAUCGCGUUGAAACACCAAUUCCCGUACGAUGACUGACGUUAAGCAACAUCGAGCCAGGUCAGUACCUUGAUGAGUGACCGCUUGGGAAUACCAGGUGCUGCAA
Acanthosepion pharaonis is the source of this 112-nucleotide non-coding RNA. NCBI's taxonomy places the organism in Eukaryota, Metazoa, Mollusca, Cephalopoda, Sepiida, Sepiidae. The record is from the annotation of a GenBank genome assembly.